RNAcentral lists this small nuclear RNA (83 nucleotides) under Meriones unguiculatus (Mongolian gerbil). The record is from RNAcentral. Lineage: Eukaryota; Metazoa; Chordata; Mammalia; Rodentia; Muridae.
AUUCUUCGGCAGCACAUAUUCUAAAUUUGGCAUGGCCCCUGUACAAGGAUGACACAUAUACUCAUGAAGCAUCCCAUAUUUCU